Long non-coding RNA from Mesocricetus auratus (golden hamster), 295 nucleotides. RefSeq lists it as uncharacterized. NCBI's taxonomy places the organism in Eukaryota, Metazoa, Chordata, Mammalia, Rodentia, Cricetidae. The transcript is spliced from 3 exons. The record is from RefSeq and is a predicted model, not a curated record.
AAAAGAUCUAUUCUAACUUUUUUUAAACUGGAACACGCUAAGCCUGAAAAGUCCCUUACUGCAUAGGCAAGAUCCAAGAGGCUGCUUGUCAUCUGAAACCGGAAAAUGGACAGCAUGUUCACAGGGAGCCUGUGAGAUGUCAUUGGAGAAAAGCACUUGCCAUACAAGCCCAAUGUCCUGAAUUUGAUCGCCAGAACUUGGAACCCAUGAUUAAAGGAGAAAACCAACUCCUGCAAGUUGUCCUCUGACUGCCACACCUCACAAUAAUAAUAAAUAAAAAUGUACUCUUAAAAUU